GUGAGUACCCGGGGACCCACCUGUCCGGCAGCACCCUCCCCUCUCAAGAGCUGGGCGGUGGUGGGAGGAGGAGGACGGGAAAACCGGCGAUGCCUCUGGGGUUUCUAGGUCGCGCGUCUGUUAACCGCAAACCGCCCAAAGUUAAGAUAGAGCAGCUUCCAGGACUUUCUUGACCACAGCGAUUUUGAUUGAAGUUUAGCCACCGUCUUUUCCAUUUUUAGAAAAGCUAUUCCGAAGUUUGGAAUGAUGACGAUGGUCGUGUUAUUUUUAACUUCCUGAUAUUUGAACGGCGAGGUGUCAGCGACCAUCCUUCCGUUCCACAGAAGCGUCUCUGAAGUUUGGGUCGAAUGCGCGCGCUUGGAAUGUGCGUGGAACCCGCGGCAGGCGCGGGGAGGAGGCCUUGGCUAGGGCGCCGGCGAGGUUCGAGUUUGCCAGCCCCCCAACCUGGAAGAGAAGGGCCAGCCCCUCACACCCGGAAGGGAAGGGCCGGUCCCCCCAACACCUGGCGCCGGGGUCGCGGGGCCACAGGGCGAGCGCGGGGUCGCGGCGAGCACGGGUCCUCUCUGAUCGCUGGGCCUUGGCGCUGGCUGCUGAGUUUUUCCUUCUUUAAGGAAGUGUGGAACUGGUCUCAAUCGGUUGACCACCUUAAGGAAAUAGGAUUUACACUGUGGACAGAGAUGUGUCCUUUACACUUCAUUUGAACCAAUAUGCCCAUGCUCCUGUGGAGGCUGAGUUGGAAAGUGACACGAAGCUGCCCCCCCGCAAGAGAGCAGUGAAUAACCCUAUACCUUCCAAUUUGAAAUCAGAAGCAAAAAAGGCUGCCAAAAUAUUAAGAGAAUUCACAGAAAUAACUUCCAGAAAUGGACCUGAUAAGAUCAUUCCUGCUCACGUAAUUGCGAAGGCUAAAGGCCUUGCAAUUCUGUCUGUGAUCAAAGCCGGGUUCCUGGUGACUGCCAGAGGAGGCAGCGGGAUUGUAGUGGCGCGCCUUCCAGAUGGAAAAUGGUCUGCACCCUCAGCCAUUGGGAUAGCUGGCCUUGGUGGAGGAUUUGAAAUAGGAAUUGAGGUAUCAGACUUGGUGAUAAUUCUGAAUUAUGACCGUGCUGUAGAAGCUUUUGCAAAAGGCGGAAAUCUGACCCUCGGAGGGAACUUGACUGUGGCGGUUGGGCCCUUGGGAAGGAACUUGGAAGGAAACGUGGCCCUGAGAAGCUCCGCUGCCGUCUUCACGUACUGCAAGUCAAGGGGACUCUUUGCAGGCGUGUCUUUAGAAGGGAGCUGUUUGAUUGAAAGGAAAGAAACUAAUAGAAAAUUUUAUUGUCAAGAUAUCCGAGCUUAUGACAUUUUAUUUGGAGAUACACCGCGGCCUGCUCAAGCCGAAGAUCUUUAUGAAAUUCUUGAUUCCUUUACUGAAAAGUAUGAAAAUGAAGGACAACGAAUCAAUGCAAGAAAAGCAGCAAGGGAGCAGAGGAAGUCUUCUGUACCGUUUGGUUUUAUGUUUCACUCAGUAUUCUCAGAAAAUCUCUUUCUGUAGAACAUUCUGUCCCUGAUAUCAGGUUCCUAAGAACCUACUAAGCCUCCUUCGUAGUUUCACUGACUUCACAUUCUUGUGAAAAGGUCAUGCUACCUUGACAUUUCCUCUGUACAGAUUUCAGGGAAAAACAUAAUUUGUCCUCUGUGAUUGCAUUUCUCCAAGGAUGGAACUUUGUUGUAUCAAUAAUACAAAUAAUAUGUGGGAGGCUGAGGCAGGUGGAGCACUUGAGAUCAGGAGUUUCAGACCAGCCUGGCCAACAUGGCAAAACCCCCUCUCUACCAUAAAAAUAGAAACAUUAGCUGGGCAUGGUGGCGUGUGCCCAUAAUCUCAGCUACUCAGGAGGCUGAAACAGGAGGAUCGCUUGAGCCCAUGAGGUUGCACUGAGCCAAGAUCAUGCCAUUGCACUCAGCCUAGGCAACAGAGUAAGACCUUAUCUCAAUAAUAAUAUAUGAAUAAUAGUUGCAGAUACUGACGCCUUUGUAUGUCAGGCCUUGGGGCACCGAGGGAUUUGUGUGCAUUGUUCAUGAUGUUCCACAGCACCUUUCAGAGUUGGUAUGAUGCCUGUUUCAUGGAAUAAAAACUGAAGCCUAG
Molecule: long non-coding RNA, 2119 nt
Filed under: Homo sapiens (human)
Lineage: Eukaryota; Metazoa; Chordata; Mammalia; Primates; Hominidae
Description: non-protein coding lnc-SH3YL1-1:9
Source: RNAcentral